AUUGCAAAAUGUCCCAUCGCAUUCUAACGAAUGAGGAAAGUCCGGACAACGAAGAGCACCGUACCGCCUAAUCAACGGGCUCGCGCAAAGGCGCGGGACAGACAGUGUCACAGAAACUAUACUUCCCGGGACUCGUUCCGGGUAAAGGUGAAAACGUGCGGUAAGAGCGCACGACUUCGGAAAGUAAUUUCAGAAGUGGACAAACCUUGCGGGUUGAAAUGCCAUGUAUAUUUCGCUUCCAUUUCGAUGGAAAAGGCUUGCUCGGCCAAUUGCCUUCAAGGCAGGCGAAAGGGGUAGGCAGAUGAGAUAAAUGAUGGGAACUCACUUUCGGGUGAGUACAGAAUCCGGCUUAUAAUUUUGCAAAAACA
Molecule: RNase P RNA, 368 nt
Filed under: Saprospiraceae bacterium
Lineage: Bacteria; Pseudomonadati; Bacteroidota; Saprospiria; Saprospirales; Saprospiraceae
Description: RNase P RNA component class A
Rfam family: Bacterial RNase P class A
About the family: Ribonuclease P (RNase P) is a ubiquitous endoribonuclease, found in archaea, bacteria and eukarya as well as chloroplasts and mitochondria. Its best characterised activity is the generation of mature 5'-ends of tRNAs by cleaving the 5'-leader elements of precursor-tRNAs.
Source: RNAcentral